Non-coding RNA from Cordylochernes scorpioides, 72 nucleotides. NCBI's taxonomy places the organism in Eukaryota, Metazoa, Arthropoda, Arachnida, Pseudoscorpiones, Chernetidae. The record is from the annotation of a GenBank genome assembly.
UCCAGGGUAGCCUAGUGGACAUGGCAUCUGCCCGGUAAGCGGAACACUGUGGGUUCGGUCCCAUCCCUGGAC